Molecule: transfer RNA, 73 nt
Filed under: Myotis davidii
Lineage: Eukaryota; Metazoa; Chordata; Mammalia; Chiroptera; Vespertilionidae
Rfam family: tRNA
About the family: Transfer RNA (tRNA) molecules are approximately 80 nucleotides in length.
Source: Rfam by way of RNAcentral
GCCAGUGAGCUCAUUGGUUAGAGCAUCGGCCUGCACACCGAUGGGUCCUGGGUUCAAUUCCCAGUCAAGGGCA